UUUAUUAAAAACAUGGCUUUUUGAAGUUUAAAUUUAAAGUCUGGCCUGCCCAAUGAUAAUUUUAAAUGGCCGCGGUAUCUUAACCGUGCAAAGGUAGCAUAAUCAUUAGUUUUUUAAAUGAAAGCUUGUAUGAAAGGUUGGAUGAAAAAAUGACUGUCUCUAUUUAAACUAUUUAGAAUUUUAUUUUUAAGUAAAAAAGCUUAAAUAAUUAUAAAAGACGAGAAGACCCUAUAGAGUUUUAUAUUAUUUAGUAUUUAAGUUUUUAGAAAUUAUAUUUUAAAUAUAUUGUAGUAUUUGGUUGGGGGAUUAAAAAAUUUAAUAAACUUUUUUUUUAUAAAUACAUUUAUUUAUGAGUAUUUGAUCCUUAGAAGAGAUUAUAAGAAUAAAUUACCUUAGGGAUAACAGCGUAAUUUUUUUUGAGAGUUCUAAUCGAAAAAAAAGGUUGCGACCUCGAUGUUGGAUUAAAAUUUAUUUUUGGUGUAGCAGCUGAAUAAUUAGGUCUGUUCGACCUUUAAAAUUUUACAUG
This 526-nucleotide ribosomal RNA is filed under the name Storeus sp. ARC3500. Its description in RNAcentral is "partial 16S ribosomal RNA". It matches the Rfam family "Bacterial large subunit ribosomal RNA", at positions 1803 to 2602 of the family's 2925-position model. Lineage: Eukaryota; Metazoa; Arthropoda; Insecta; Coleoptera; Curculionidae. The record is from RNAcentral.